ACGAGUUGAAAGAAAUCUCUUCCGAAGUCAUGGUUGAAGACUCUUUGAUGGUUAAUUUGGCUGCUCAGAUGAAGGAACUUCAAGCCAAAAUGGACGACUGCAGGGCGAGAAUGGCUGCUAAAAAGCGCAACGCCUCCCAGGAAAUUGAGCGAACUAAGUCCUUGUUCGAGCAGUACAAGAAGUUGGAAGUUGAUGAUGA
RNAcentral lists this long non-coding RNA (199 nucleotides) under Olea europaea (common olive). RNAcentral describes it as "long non-coding RNA (OEUR_LNC004386)". The record is from RNAcentral. Lineage: Eukaryota; Viridiplantae; Streptophyta; Magnoliopsida; Lamiales; Oleaceae.